CAAUUGAUUGAUGGUGCUUGCACCUGAUUGAUUUUGGUCGCCAACGAGUGGCGGACGGGUGAGUAACACGUAGGUAACCUGCCCAGAAGCGGGGGACAACAUUUGGAAACAGAUGCUAAUACCGCAUAACAGCGUUGUUCGCAUGAACAACGCUUAAAAGAUGGCUUCUCGCUAUCACUUCUGGAUGGACCUGCGGUGCAUUAGCUUGUUGGUGGGGUAAUGGCCUACCAAGGCGAUGAUGCAUAGCCGAGUUGAGAGACUGAUCGGCCACAAUGGGACUGAGACACGGCCCAUACUCCUACGGGAGGCAGCAGUAGGGAAUCUUCCACAAUGGGCGCAAGCCUGAUGGAGCAACACCGCGUGAGUGAAGAAGGGUUUCGGCUCGUAAAGCUCUGUUGUUAAAGAAGAACACGUAUGAGAGUAACUGUUCAUACGUUGACGGUAUUUAACCAGAAAGUCACGGCUAACUACGUGCCAGCAGCCGCGGUAAUACGUAGGUGGCAAGCGUUAUCCGGAUUUAUUGGGCGUAAAGAGAGUGCAGGCGGUUUUCUAAGUCUGAUGUGAACUUCGGCUUAACCGGAGAAGUGCAUCGGAAACUGGAUAACUUGAGUGCAGAAGAGGGUAGUGGAACUCCAUGUGUAGCGGUGGAAUGCGUAGAUAUAUGGAAGAACACCAGUGGCGAAGGCGGCUACCUGGUCUGCAACUGACGCUGAGACUCGAAAGCAUGGGUAGCGAACAGGAUUAGAUACCCUGGUAGUCCAUGCCGUAAACGAUGAGUGCUAGUGUUGGAGGGUUUCCGCCCUUCAGUGCCGGAGCUAACGCAUUAAGCACUCCGCCUGGGGAGUACGACCGCAAGGUUGAAACUCAAAGGAAUUGACGGGGGCCCGCACAAGCGGUGGAGCAUGUGGUUUAAUUCGAAGCUACGCAUCCAACCUUACCAGGUCUUGACAUCUUGCGCCCACCCUAGAGAUAGGGCGUUUCCUUCGGGAACGCAAUGACAGGUGGUGCAUGGUCGUCGUCAGCUCGUGUCGUGAGAUGUUGGGUUAAGUCCCGCAACGAGCGCAACCCUUGUUACUAGUUGCCAGCAUUAAGUUGGGCACUCUAGUGAGACUGCCGGUGACAAACCGGAGGAAGGUGGGGACGACGUCAGAUCAUCAUGCCCCUUAUGACCUGGGCUACACACGUGCUACAAUGGACGGUACAACGAGUCGCGAACUCGCGAGGGCAAGCAAAUCUCUUAAAACCGUUCUCAGUUCGGACUGCAGGCUGCAACUCGCCUGCACGAAGUCGGAAUCGCUAGUAAUCGCGGAUCAGCAUGCCGCGGUGAAUACGUUCCCGGGCCUUGUACACACCGCCCGUCACACCAUGAGAGUUUGUAACACCCAAAGUCGGUGGGGUANCCUUUUAGGAGCCA
RNAcentral lists this ribosomal RNA (1414 nucleotides) under Limosilactobacillus fermentum. RNAcentral describes it as "bacterial SSU rRNA". It matches the Rfam family "Bacterial small subunit ribosomal RNA". RNAcentral also lists the same sequence under 1 other name. Lineage: Bacteria; Bacillati; Bacillota; Bacilli; Lactobacillales; Lactobacillaceae. The record is from RNAcentral.